This 58-nucleotide transfer RNA is filed under the name Ictidomys tridecemlineatus (thirteen-lined ground squirrel). RNAcentral describes it as "Spermophilus tridecemlineatus (thirteen-lined ground squirrel) tRNA". It matches the Rfam family "tRNA", at positions 8 to 63 of the family's 71-position model. Rfam says of the family: Transfer RNA (tRNA) molecules are approximately 80 nucleotides in length. Their secondary structure includes four short double-helical elements and three loops (D, anti-codon, and T loops). The record is from Rfam by way of RNAcentral. Lineage: Eukaryota; Metazoa; Chordata; Mammalia; Rodentia; Sciuridae.
UAGCUCAGUGGGUAGAGUGCUUGCCUUGCAUGCAUAAGGCCCUGGGUUCAAUCCCCAG